AGCUAUGAGCCAAGAAGAUGGAAAUAUUUGUAUAACUCCUUGGAGAAAGUGGGGUACAGAGUGCUUUUUCUUUUUCCUUCUUUCUUUUUUCUUUUUCCUUUUAAUAAGACUUGGUUGAAUCUUUAUGUCUCUGGAUCCUAUGAAACUCAAAAGGGUACUAGGUAUGCUGAAUGCUCUAAAUUCCAUCGAGUUUCUUGUUCUAUCUCUCCUGUCAUCCCACAGUUGUUAUUAAGGCCUGGGAUCCUGCAGUCACAUUUCAUGUUGGUGAGUCCAUAGAAGGGAAAUUCCUAGGGUCAACUCUUCUCACCAUCUGACUGAUAACAUGUUUGGGUUCUGAGAAGGCUAACUUUUGAGGAUGUUGGAAGAUGAUGAAGAUGAUCUCAUAGUCCCAUACUGUUCACAAGGAGGAACAAAAUCAUCCCAGAAGGAUGCAGAGCCUGGAUAUCGAGGAGAAAGAGGCGGAUCCUGUGGAGGGUUGGUCCAGAGCACGAAAUUGAAUGUGCGAUUUUUACCAUAGUCACACAGGAGAGGCAACAUGCAAGAAUGCCCAUGAAGGCUGGUCAGAGAGAGGUCACACAGUUCUCUUGCCUGGUAUGCAUCAUGCAGAUCUUUUGUUAAAAACACAAACC
Molecule: long non-coding RNA, 629 nt
Filed under: Mus spicilegus (steppe mouse)
Lineage: Eukaryota; Metazoa; Chordata; Mammalia; Rodentia; Muridae
Description: lncRNA (ENSMSIG00000004609.1)
Source: RNAcentral